UAGGUGACUGCGUACCUUUUGUAUAAUGGGUCAGCGACUUAUAUUCAGUGGCAAGCUUAACCGUAUAGGGUAGGCGUAGCGAAAGCGAGUCUUAAUAGGGCGUUUAGUCGCUGGGUAUAGACCCGAAACCGGGCGAUCUAUCCAUGAGCAGGUUGAAGGUUAGGUAACACUGACUGGAGGACCGAACCCACUCCCGUUGAAAAGGUAGGGGAUGACUUGUGGAUCGGAGUGAAAGGCUAAUCAAGCUCGGAGAUAGCUGGUUCUCCUCGAAAGCUAUUUAGGUAGCGCCUCAUGUAUCACUCUGGGGGGUAGAGCACUGUUUCGGCUAGGGGGUCAUCCCGACUUACCAAACCGAUGCAAACUCCGAAUACCCAGAAGUGCCGAGCAUGGGAGACACACGGCGGGUGCUAACGUCCGUCGUGAAAAGGGAAACAACCCAGACCGCCAGCUAAGGUCCCAAAGUUGUGGUUAAGUGGUAAACGAUGUGGGAAGGCUUAGACAGCUAGGAGGUUGGCUUAGAAGCAGCCACCCUUUAAAGAAAGCGUAAUAGCUCACUAGUCGAGUCGGCCUGCGCGGAAGAUGUAACGGGGCUCAAACCACACACCGAAGCUGCGGGUGUCACGUAAGUGACGCGGUAGAGGAGCGUUCUGUAAGCCUGUGAAGGUGAGUUGAGAAGCUUGCUGGAGGUAUCAGAAGUGCGAAUGCUGACAUGAGUAACGACAAUGGGUGUGAAAAACACCCACGCCGAAAGACCAAGGGUUCCUGCGCAACGUUAAUCGACGCAGGGUUAGUCGGUUCCUAAGGCGAGGCUGAAAAGCGUAGUCGAUGGGAAACAGGUUAAUAUUCCUGUACUUCUGGUUACUGCGAUGGAGGGACGGAGAAGGCUAGGCCAGCUUGGCGUUGGUUGUCCAAGUUUAAGGUGGUAGGCUGAAAUCUUAGGUAAAUCCGGGGUUUCAAGGCCGAGAGCUGAUGACGAGUCGUCUUUUAGAUGACGAAGUGGUUGAUGCCAUGCUUCCAAGAAAAGCUUCUAAGCUUCAGGUAACCAGGAACCGUACCCCAAACCGACACAGGUGGUCGGGUAGAGAAUACCAAGGCGCUUGAGAGAACUCGGGUGAAGGAACUAGGCAAAAUGGCACCGUAACUUCGGGAGAAGGUGCGCCGGCUAGGGUGAAGGAUUUACUCCGUAAGCUCUGGCUGGUCGAAGAUACCAGGCCGCUGCGACUGUUUAUUAAAAACACAGCACUCUGCAAACACGAAAGUGGACGUAUAGGGUGUGACGCCUGCCCGGUGCCGGAAGGUUAAUUGAUGGGGUUAGCGCAAGCGAAGCUCUUGAUCGAAGCCCCGGUAAACGGCGGCCGUAACUAUAACGGUCCUAAGGUAGCGAAAUUCCUUGUCGGGUAAGUUCCGACCUGCACGAAUGGCGUAACGAUGGCGGCGCUGUCUCCACCCGAGACUCAGUGAAAUUGAAAUCGCUGUGAAGAUGCAGUGUAUCCGCGGCUAGACGGAAAGACCCCGUGAACCUUUACUGUAGCUUUGCACUGGACUUUGAGCCUGCUUGUGUAGGAUAGGUGGGAGGCUUUGAAGCGUGGACGCCAGUUCGCGUGGAGCCAUCCUUGAAAUACCACCCUGGCAUGCUUGAGGUUCUAACUCUGGUCCGUAAUCCGGAUCGAGGACAGUGUAUGGUGGGCAGUUUGACUGGGGCGGUCUCCUCCUAAAGAGUAACGGAGGAGUACGAAGGUGCGCUCAGACCGGUCGGAAAUCGGUCGUAGAGUAUAAAGGCAAAAGCGCGCUUGACUGCGAGACAGACACGUCGAGCAGGUACGAAAGUAGGUCUUAGUGAUCCGGUGGUUCUGUAUGGAAGGGCCAUCGCUCAACGGAUAAAAGGUACUCCGGGGAUAACAGGCUGAUACCGCCCAAGAGUUCAUAUCGACGGCGGUGUUUGGCACCUCGAUGUCGGCUCAUCACAUCCUGGGGCUGAAGCCGGUCCCAAGGGUAUGGCUGUUCGCCAUUUAAAGUGGUACGCGAGCUGGGUUUAGAACGUCGUGAGACAGUUCGGUCCCUAUCUGCCGUGGACGUUUGAGAUUUGAGAGGGGCUGCUCCUAGUACGAGAGGACCGGAGUGGACGAACCUCUGGUGUUCCGGUUGUCACGCCAGUGGCAUUGCCGGGUAGCUAUGUUCGGAAAAGAUAACCGCUGAAAGCAUCUAAGCGGGAAACUUGCCUCAAGAUGAGAUCUCACUGGGAACUUGAUUCCCCUGAAGGGCCGUCGAAGACUACGACGUUGAUAGGCUGGGUGUGUAAGCGUUGUGAGGCGUUGAGCUAACCAGUACUAAUUGCCCGUGAGGCUUGACC
This 2350-nucleotide ribosomal RNA is filed under the name Pseudomonas aeruginosa. RNAcentral describes it as "bacterial LSU rRNA". It matches the Rfam family "Bacterial large subunit ribosomal RNA", at positions 590 to 2925 of the family's 2925-position model. The record is from RNAcentral. Lineage: Bacteria; Pseudomonadati; Pseudomonadota; Gammaproteobacteria; Pseudomonadales; Pseudomonadaceae.